CAUACAUAAACAUGGUAAAUAUCCCGUCUCAAGUUCUAAUGACUUAUGACAUAGGUACGACCUUUUUAGAAAAAAGAACACACAAGCACAGAUAAGUAAUAAAUAACAAAUACAUAUUUUUUUUAAAACAGUAUCUGGUACAAGACAGCACGAGACGAAUCCUUACACUACUUAUGAAAUAAAUAAAAUUGUAAAUUCUAAUAAAUUGAGUGCAAUCUAUCUAAGUUUAGCUAGGUUAGUGUGAAAGUUUAGUUCUUUGAACGUUAGACUUUUAAGUUAGUUUAACAGAAGAUAGAUUUUUUUAUUCAAUACACGUUGUUGGUGAAAAGAUAGGAUAUUGUUUAACCGACUUCACAAAGUCUUUCUUCAUUUUACCCUUUAACUAUUUCAAAUUUAUUUGAGCGCAUCUGGGACGCAUUUUUGCUUUACUUGUACUCUGUAUAACUUUGUCGGUCAGUCAUCAUCUCAUUGUAUUAGUUUUUCAUUUCAAAAAGGUAAUUUGCGAUUUGAGAAACACACUAAUAUGUAUUAUUAAUCAAUCAUGAUGAAACUACUGAACGGAUUUUUCUGAAAUUUGGUACCUAUAGAGAUAGGGUAUGAGUUGAUUUAGGUAAUAGGAUUUAGUUUUUAUCCCACAAAAUUGCUAGUUUUUUAAUAAAACUAAUCUCCAGUGGAUAAUUGUAUUCCUUCUUUUUUUAUUAAGACGUUAACCACCACGCCAGUCACUGGUGACCAACGCUUAGCGGAGGAUUUGCCUUCAACAGUUUUCUUUCGGCAAUUAAUGCUUAAACAGGACAAUCCGGGGGCAAUGCCCACCCCCAAGUCGAGCAGAAAAAAGCGGUACGGCCGUACCCUUUUCCCAAAGCCAUGGCCAAUUUCGACAGCCUAUAACUUCAUGGUGGAUAAAACAAGAAGCCUGAAUUUUCAGAUACUAAGCAGGCAUUGUACAAACAUGGUAUAUAUCAAAAUUAUAUUUUCUUUUCAUUACACCAUCUUUUCUUUUCAUUAACAACGUGUCAACAUAAUUAGAGUUUCCAAAAUCAGUGACUUAUCCUUACAGAGCUUUAGUUUUUAAUUAAUUCACUCUUACCCUUCUUAUAAAGAAAAGUCUUCUGAUUUUUAAUAGAUAACAAAUAUAGCUUUAUAUAGUAAUUAUAAAAUAGUUCUUUCAGAGGCAGGUUUAACAGGUAAUAGUAAUUUUUUGGUCUGUGCAAAAUUACUCUUUAAAUUUUUUUACGCGGUAAAUUCGUUUCGAGCGUUAUUUUUUAUGAGAGUAAUUUUGCAAAGGUGAUUUUUCGUGCAGGUACAUACAUUAUAAAGUUAAGAUAUAUUAUAAUACUAUAUUUCUUUAUUAUAUUAAAUAUAAGUAUUCUUUGUCCUAAUUAUAGUUUAGUAAGGAUUAGAUACCAAGAUUUAUUUUUAGUUGGAGUUUUUUUUGGCUUUGUCAAGUCUUUUGUUUAUAAUAUUGGUUAGAUUUUGAUUUGUGAUUGCAUUUAAGACUUUCACCAUGAGAUUCCAACUUAUUACUUUGGAAAUAUUGUAAUAGAUUUAUUUCUGAACGCUUACCCAGUCAUCAAAUCGUUUAUGAAAUUUCAAAAACAUAUAUGAGUAGCUUUAAAAGUGCCACGGUUUUAGUGGGAGGUAGUGUUGUGUUUAAAGAUUACAAUAGUAAAUAUAAAUUCAUGAGUCAUUUUUCUUUUAUACCUACAAUAAAUCCACUAGUCAGUUUGUUAUGAAAGAGUUAUCUCUUUCGAUGUGUCGACGCAAUGUGCGUAUUUGUGAAACACUUUAAGCAGAGUGGAGUCAAUGUUGUAAUCUUCAAACACAACACUACCUCCCAUUAAAGCCGUCGCGGAUAAUUUAAGAACACCUUAUAUAAGUAGCUAGACUGACUUAUUUAGACAUGUGGAUAAUGCCUAACUAACAUUUUAUUUCCUAUCUAUUUAAACGCGUUUUGUUUAGUGAUGGGAAACAUUUGCACGAUUUUAUCGAUAUUUAUUCAAGCUUAAGGGUCGAUUCAUAUCUGAUGUAAAAUAAGUCGAGCGUAUAAUCGGUCGUACUGACGUAUCAUCGGUUGAGUGUGAACGGUCAAUUGUUUUUCUAUACAUUUGUCUGUUCUGGCGUUACGCGACCGAUGAUACGCGACGCAUGUUCCGUCUGAUAUGAACCGAACCUAACAGAGAUGUCUGGGUAUCCCAAAUGGCAUUGCCAUUUAAAUUGUUUUUUUUUUUUAUACAUCUUUAGGUAUAUUUUAUACAUACAAUGUCUUUAGCAAUAAUUAUAAUCGAGAAAAAUGUAUACAAAUGUAACCCAUCGAAACUAAAGGCUUUGGAUCUGAAGCUAACUAAAUAUUAGUCUAAAUCAGUUUGUCUAGCUAAAACAUAGUAGAUAGGACGAAGUGAGGUUUAUUUCAGUAUUUAAUAAAUACAGAUACAUAGUUUACUAUUUGCAGAAGUAAAAAAAUAAAGAAAAAGAAUAUUAUUUUUAAAUUUAACUAUUAUUGGACAGAUUUUGGCACUUAAAAAGUAUAGUAGCGACCUCUAUGCAAAGGUCUGAAAGGAAGGAAGUAGUUUUACUUCUACAAAUAUUUAUUUUCGUAUAUAAUUUCUGUAACAUAAUAUUUUGAUUAUAAGUUUUAUAGGUAUGUAAAUAACGGUAAUAGAAUUUGGACUAUGUUUUAUGGAUAUAUUUUAUAUCUUCUCUAUAAUAUGUAUAUGGAUAAAUCAAUAAAUGCUCUCUAUACAUUCAACAGUGUUUAAUUUUUGAGGACGAGCGAAAAGAGUAAUUUUCGUUCAAUAUUUUUAUUACAUUUUAAGUUUCAUAGUUAUUUUUGGCACACAUUUAAGGCAAGCUGGCGAAAACCCUUCUAUUUUAAUCGGUAGUAAUCCGAAAUAGGUAUAGUGGCCAGCUCAGGUAAACCCUGUCCUUUCUUUCAAAUGAGAACUGAAGUUACUGAACGUAAAAUGAGAUAUUUACCAUGUUUAUUAGUUUUUGUGAGUUUCCGAUAUUUCGGCACUGUUGCAAACGGAUCACGGAUUACGGCACUUGAUGAUGAACUGUCAGUUUAUCCGUGAUCGUAAAUAUCCCAUUCAGUCUAAACACUUUUAAAAUGUUUACAGAUAGAGUAAAUUGAAUUACUGGCCACUGUACACUAUUAUAAACAAUUAUGCAAUUUUUCCCAACUGAAUACGAGUUUUCGGAUUGGCAGUGACACUUUUAAGAUUUCUUUUUAAAUGUUUAAUUAUUCUUUUCAUUCGUCCUCCCACAUUUAAUGUGCCCGACAAACCAGUGCGUCUAUAUACUGUAUAUUUAUGCUCUCUUCAUUAUAUUAUGUUAUUCUUAAUUGACGAUUAAAAUUUGGCAGUUAAUUAUGGAUUUAGAAUAUAUUAUAUUAUGUUGAAUUUCAGAUUUUUUUUAACUAUAUUUAUGAUUGAUUUUUAUACUACCUAUGGCUUAGAAUCCCGAUGACACUCUCAACUGUCAUUCCCUUUAAAUCUGACAUUUGUAAAUGUCAAACGUAAUGUCAUGUAUGAAAAUAUAAUUUUGACAGUUAAAAAUCAUAGAGGUUAUGUAUGAUCGAAAAGUGUAAUAUUUUUGAAAAAUAAUAAUUAAUUUAAGAUAUUUAUCAUAAAGGUACAUUUUGAUUUUAGAUAUUAUUUUUAAUUUAAUAUUUACAGGAAACACCAACCGUUUACUUGUCCAUCGAUACAAAUUCAUUCAAUUUCCUCCGGGAUUCACGAUAAAAUAUUCUAAUAUACUAUGUUAUAGUUAUGUAUAUCUCAUUUGUAACAGAAAUAUACAACUACAUACUAUGACAUAUAUAGUAUAGUGUAACAGCAACGAAUGUGUUAACUAUACAAGCGUAUAAUAUAUAUUUCUUUCUAAAAUAAUUAUGAUCACAAUACACAAUAGUCGACUUGUAUGCUGAGAUAAGGUGAAAAAUGAAAUAUCGAUACAUUUUGAAAUCUUUAUCGUACAUUUCCCAUCAUUAUAUAUUAUUUUGUGUGAGAUGGGCUCAUAAAAACUGAUAGUUAUACCAUUACUUUUGCUUAUAAUGCCAUAAUUGUUACAAUGGCAUACUUAGUAGAAAUAUAUUCCAAAUAAAUAAAAAAAUGAUCAAGGGAAAUCUUAGGUUUGGCACAACCCUUAAUAUAGUAUAAAUCUCUAUUAUGCAUAUUUUAAAAACUAUCUUGCAUACAACUCGACUUAAUCACAUCUGAAUGAGGAUUUUCGCGCCGCUAGAGGCGCUAGUGUAGCUUUAUGUCUAUCUGUCCGAUAUAAUAUUUAAUAAUAUCAGUCAACUUGUGACUAUAAGACUCUAUAUUACCUUAUAACUCACUAACGCCAUCUUUACAGCGCAAAAACGAAAAUCCUCAUCAAUUUAAUUAAUAAUUCGUACCAAAACAAACUUACUUUUUCAUUCAUAUUAAUAAAGCGUAUUUUUCAAAGGAUUCUCGGUCCUAAAAACACAUUAAAUAAUGGUUAUUGUUCCGUUUACUUGUAAACACCGUUAGAUUAAUAAACUCUCAGAAAAAAGUCCUUUGUGGGAUCCACAAAUUGUUGUUUCGGGUCUGGGUGUCAUGUGUAUGUGAACUUGUAUGUUUGUAAACGCACCCACGACACAGAAGAAAAUCCUAGUGUGGGGCAACGUUUUAUUAAAAAAUAGUUCAUAAUCCAGCAAUGUUUACAAUUAAACAGAGAACGGCUAUAAACUAGUUUUAUAUGGAGGCUAUGCUUAUGAGCGUAAACAUUUAAUUUCAUUUAAAACAAGGUACUGCCUCGUUGGCUGAGUGGUUGCAAGUGCGGCUGCCAGGCAAGGGGUCUCGGGUUCGAUUCCUGGGUCGGGCGAAGUAUUACUAGGCUUUUUUCGGUUUUUCGAAAAUUUCUUAGUAGUAGCACGGAGUCUGGAAAUGUGCCCGGUAUAUGGCAAUAGGCUCACCACCUAUUACAUGGGACUUACAACAUAAAUUGUGAAAAGUGGGUUGUACACAGUGGCAUUACGUGCCAUAAUGUGCACCUCUGCCUACCCCUUCGAGGAUUAAAGGCGUGACGAUAUGUAUGUAUGUAUGUAAAACAAGGUACUGUUAAGUCACCUGACAGAGUAGCAUACACAUUGCCACUAUUCUUCUGUUGGUGUCAGAAACAGCCAUGGGGUCGGUUCAUGGCCACAUUUCACAAAGACACGUGAAGUAGCGGUAAUUCGCCUCGAAAAGCAGGAGUAGGAACGGAGUGGAUUUUAGCCAAUAAGAGUCUCACACUCCCUUUCACUUUGCUCAAGGCGGGAGAAGCCAUUGGAUGAUCCCGCUAAAAAGCAAUGCUAUCUGAUAAACAUGAACGUUUUAAACUGCAUUCUCUAACUUAGCUGCUUCUCAAGAUUAUGUUAAACCCUCUUAACUUAAAAUAGCUUCACUAGAGGACUGACCGACAGACAGACGUUAUUAAUAUUAUUAUAUUUGCUUUGACGUUCAAAA
Molecule: long non-coding RNA, 5471 nt
Organism: Spodoptera frugiperda (fall armyworm)
Lineage: Eukaryota; Metazoa; Arthropoda; Insecta; Lepidoptera; Noctuidae
Exons: 2
Source: RefSeq, a predicted model, not a curated record